This 490-nucleotide ribosomal RNA is filed under the name uncultured bacterium. RNAcentral describes it as "partial 16S ribosomal RNA". It matches the Rfam family "Bacterial small subunit ribosomal RNA", at positions 30 to 507 of the family's 1533-position model. The record is from RNAcentral.
AUUGAACGCUGGCGGCAGGCCUAACACAUGCAAGUCGAACGGUAACAGGAAGAAGCUUGCUUCUUUGCUGACGAGUGGCGGACGGGUGAGUAAUGUCUGGGAAACUGCCUGAUGGAGGGGGAUAACUACUGGAAACGGUAGCUAAUACCGCAUAACGUCGCAAGACCAAAGAGGGGGACCUUCGGGCCUCUUGCCAUCGGAUGUGCCCAGAUGGGAUUAGCUAGUAGGUGGGGUAACGGCUCACCUAGGCGACGAUCCCUAGCUGGUCUGAGAGGAUGACUAGCCACAUGGGAAGUGAGACACGGUCGAGACUCCUACGGGAGGCAGCAGUGGGGAAUAUUGCACAAUGGGCGCAAGCGUGAUACAGCAAUGCCGCGUGUAUGAUGAAGGCGUACGGGUGGUAAAGUACUGUCAGCGGGGAGGAAGGGAGUAACGUUAACACCUGUGCUCAUUGACGUUACCGGCAGAAGAAGCACCGGCUAACUCCGUG